This 1957-nucleotide long non-coding RNA is filed under the name Pomacea canaliculata. RNAcentral describes it as "uncharacterized LOC112560497". The record is from RNAcentral. Lineage: Eukaryota; Metazoa; Mollusca; Gastropoda; Architaenioglossa; Ampullariidae.
AACCGCGUGUCUCAGACCCUACAACAAUGAGCCUAACCAACGAGACGAUAACAUCACGAGAACUCAACUGGACGGUUGAGGAGGCAGAGGAGUACUUGAGAGGCCUGAGUCCAGAACAAGAUGCAGGACUUGAUACCCACCAUCGCCGUCUUCGGGCUUCUCGUUUUUGUAGGGAUACCCGGAAACACAUUCAUCAUUCUCGUCUACUCCACGUGUUACAAAGCCGGCUCCACCAAGGUGUUUGUGUUGGCCAUGGCUGUGUUUGAUCUCGUGUCGAGCGCACUCAGUUUUCCGCUGAUAAUAUUCGAGUUCCACUUCUUGUACACCUUUCCCGACUUUCGCUUCUGCAAGCUCAUGCAAGCGAUGCAAAGAUUUCCGUUUGUUGCCUCCAGCUGCAUCCUGGUGGGCGUGGCUCUGGAUCCGUCGUCAUCGCAUCUGUAAACCUCUAAAACGACAGCUGAGCCCUCGUCAAGCCUCCUACGUGGUCAUUCUCUCACUCAUUCUGGCUUUGUUGUUCACUUUCCCCUUCCUGCCCCUUAAGGGCGAGUCGCUUUUGACUACAGAUGUUGACGGCCUGUUUGGAAGGCGAUGCGGUUACAUAAGAGAGUACAGGAACUCAGUUUAUGCAACUAUUGAAUCUUCCUUUCUGUCAUUGAAUAUUGUUGUUGGGAUUGUUGUGUUUUUGUUUUGCUAUUCUCAGAUUGGAUACCAGUUGUAUAAACAAAAGAAGAAAAGAAACUGGGUCUGCCAGGUUGAGCUUCACAAAAGUGAAGGAAUUAGCAAGGAAGCAUCUACAAAAACUGUCAACCAAACUUGCGAUUAUGUUCAGAAGAGUUCUAUUGCUUGCAGAGAACAUGGUGAAAUGGAUAAGUUAUCUUCCCCUGAACAAGUGCAACCGGCUGAUUUUUCCAUUUCCGACCAAACCGGAACUCUGAGUUCUGUGUAUCUGUCUUCUACUAUAACUCAGGAGUCUCCAAAUCUUGGAAAACCAAAUGAGACAUCAGGAGGGGAAGAGCUGGUAGUGCAGUCUGAACCCCCAUCAAAAUCAUCGGAGCCUUGCUCAGCAGACCAUGUACUUUUGAAUAAAGAAACGGUCACAUCGAGUACUACCAUUGCGACCAAUGGUACUGGUGCUGACCAAAGAGAAACGACCAGAGAAGGAGAUCUGAACGGAAUGGAAAUUGUUGUUUUAAAGGGCCAUCCGUCGUUCGACAUCGCAAUAACAGGAACAUCCGUUCACGAACUACCCUCAUGAUGUUUGUUCUGAACUUAACUGUCAUCCUCACUUUUAUCCCUACACCAUAGUGACUGUGAUCUACGAUGGUGCAUUUGAGCAAUGUCCGCUGCUGAGUGACUGGACCAUGAACUUGUGCUUGAUCAUAGCAACACUUCCAUAUGUCAAUUCUGUUGUCAAUCCGUUUAUUUACAGCAUCUGGAACCCUGAAUUUCGUCUGAAGAGUGUCCAGUUUCUCAGGAAAGUCAGGAGUAUUCUUUGAAGUUUAUGCACGGAGCUUUCCAUUAAUUUAAUUUUGUUUUAGAUGCUUGGUUUCAACGUGUGUCAUGUUUAAUAGUAUCUGUUCCUUUUCACGAUCUCCUUCAGUUGUUAUUUUUGCUGGCACAAGUUUAAACAUUACCGUAAUUUUAGUGAUGUAUUCGUUCUACCAAACAAAAAAAUCAACCUGCAAACUAACCAAGAGACAGCUGUGUUUUUGUGAAAAAUAUGAUACAACUUUAGUUAAUAAUUUUUUGUACUGAACUAUUUUGAUCAAGUAUUCAAUUAACUUAGCAAGAAUUGUUUUAACUUCUGUAAAUGUGUACAGUUUGUUGCAUCACUAGCUAGACAACAAUGACUGUUAUGUCCUGCGGUGCAGAAUACCCUGCACACUAGAGAGUAUUGGCUGCCAUGAAUGUCAUGAAUUAAUACCGUAGCCCUCAGUAAUGUAACACUGCUGAAUGA